This 70-nucleotide transfer RNA is filed under the name Ipomoea nil (Japanese morning glory). It matches the Rfam family "tRNA". Rfam says of the family: Transfer RNA (tRNA) molecules are approximately 80 nucleotides in length. Their secondary structure includes four short double-helical elements and three loops (D, anti-codon, and T loops). Further hydrogen bonds mediate the characteristic L-shaped molecular structure. tRNAs have two regions of fundamental functional importance: the anti-codon, which is responsible for specific mRNA codon recognition, and the 3' end, to which the tRNAs corresponding amino acid is attached (by aminoacyl-tRNA synthetases). tRNAs cope with the degeneracy of the genetic code in two manners: having more than one tRNA (with a specific anti-codon) for a particular amino acid; and 'wobble' base-pairing, i.e. permitting non-standard base-pairing at the 3rd anti-codon position. Lineage: Eukaryota; Viridiplantae; Streptophyta; Magnoliopsida; Solanales; Convolvulaceae. The record is from Rfam by way of RNAcentral.
GGGGAUGUAGCUCAGAUGGUAGAGCUCUUGCUUAGAAUGUGAGAGUUACAUGGACUUCCAUGCAUUUCCA